GGUGGGGAUGACGUCAAGUCCUCAUGGCCCUUAUGGUACGGGCUUCACACGUCAUACAAUGGCAGGUACAGAGGGCUGCGAAGCCGCGAGGUGGAGCGAAUCCCAGAAAACCUGUCUCAGUCCGGAUUGAAGUCUGCAACUCGACUUCAUGAAGGCGGAAUCGCUAGUAACCGCGAAUCAGCAGGUCCGCGGUCGAAUACGUUCCGGCCUU
Molecule: ribosomal RNA, 211 nt
Filed under: uncultured Lachnospiraceae bacterium
Lineage: Bacteria; Bacillati; Bacillota; Clostridia; Lachnospirales; Lachnospiraceae
Description: partial 16S ribosomal RNA
Rfam family: Bacterial small subunit ribosomal RNA
Source: RNAcentral